UGUGUCAAGACGGGCUGCCCAAUCCAAUCGCUGGGGCUGGGUGGCUCUUAAGGAGCUGGAGGCAGAGACAAGGGCAGAAACUAUAGGGCUGAGAACUCUUUAGCAAAGUAACCUGAGAUUUUGAGAACGGGCUGCUAUUGAAAAAAAGAGCAGAAGGGGGAGGUACUAGCGGGAAGGUAGAGGGAGUGGAUUAGCCCGGUGGCCACUUCUCACAACUCCUUGUAUUCCCAAGGGACCACUGGGACCCCCUCGCAGUGGCAUGCACAGAAGCACAAGAGUAACACUAAAAUCACUGCCAUCUGCAAACAGUUUAGAUUUUAAAGGCUGAAAGGAAAGCUGCACUGAAGAACUAUACCUGAAAUACUGUUAAAAUAGUACAUCACAGAAACACGUUCUCAACUUGACUCUCGGGCCUGUGAUGUCCAACUAGGGUCAGACUGGUCCAACACAGCUGCCAACUGGCCAAGAGUUCCAACUCCAGCACAGUAAACAAGUGAUCAGUGAGUCUGGGAAGAGCUCAACGCACCAGACACUUGGAAAACAGAGGCAAAUAAAGGGAGGAAAAUCAACAGACUUAAGUCUGUCA
Molecule: non-coding RNA, 586 nt
Organism: Anas platyrhynchos (mallard)
Lineage: Eukaryota; Metazoa; Chordata; Aves; Anseriformes; Anatidae
Source: RefSeq, a predicted model, not a curated record